RNAcentral lists this ribosomal RNA (253 nucleotides) under uncultured bacterium. RNAcentral's name for it is "partial 16S ribosomal RNA". It matches the Rfam family "Bacterial small subunit ribosomal RNA", at positions 524 to 776 of the family's 1533-position model. The record is from RNAcentral.
UACAGAGGGUGCAAGCGUUGUUCGGAAUUAUUGGGCGUAAAGGGAGUGUAGGCGGUUUGAUAAGUCUUCUGUGAAAUCUACGGGCUUAGCCUGUAACGUGCAGAGGAAACUGUCAGACUUGAGUGUCGGAGAGGAUAGGGGAAUUCCAGGUGUAGCGGUGAAAUGCGUAGAUAUCUGGAGGAACACCGGUGGCGAAGGCGGCAUCCUGGACCAAUAUUGACGCUGAGGAGCGAAAGCAAGGGGAGCGAACGGG